RNAcentral lists this ribosomal RNA (492 nucleotides) under uncultured bacterium. RNAcentral describes it as "partial 16S ribosomal RNA". It matches the Rfam family "Bacterial small subunit ribosomal RNA", at positions 30 to 507 of the family's 1533-position model. The record is from RNAcentral.
AUUGAACGCUGGCGGUAGGCCUAACACGUGCAAGUCGAACGGCAGCACAGUAAGAGCUUGCUCUUACGGGUGGCGAGUGGCGGACGGGUGAGGAAUACAUCUGAAUCUACUUUUUCGUGGGGGAUAACGUAGGGAAACUUACGCUAAUACCGCUUACAACCUCCGGUUGAAAGAGGGGGAUCUUCGGCCCUUGCCCGUUGGAUUGUGCCGAUGUCGGAUUAGUUAGUUGGCGGGGUAAAGGCCCACCAAGGCGACGAUCCGUAGCUGGUCUGAGAGGAUGAUCAGCCACACUGGAACUGAGACACGGUCCAGACUCCUACGGGAGGCAGCAGUGGGGAAUAUUGGACAAUGGGCGCAAGCCUGAUCCAGCCAUACCGCGUGGGUGAAGAAGGCCUUCGGGUUGUAAAGCCCUUUUGUUGGGAAAGAAAAGCAGCAGGUUAAUACCCCGCUGUUCUGACGGUACCAAAAGAAUAAGCACCGGCUAACUUCGUG